Molecule: long non-coding RNA, 434 nt
Organism: Asparagus officinalis (garden asparagus)
Lineage: Eukaryota; Viridiplantae; Streptophyta; Magnoliopsida; Asparagales; Asparagaceae
Exons: 2
Source: RefSeq, a predicted model, not a curated record
AGAUCGGGGCUUGAGAUUUUCUUCGGGCGGGGAGCGGCUCGUGACCAGGUUUUGAUCCCUAAGCUCGAGAUUGUUGCUUCAGUGAUGUGUCUAUGAGAUAGUUGGUACAUGUUGAUGGUUGUGUGAACUAUAUCCAUUAAUGUAAGCAUCAAUAUAUUAUGUCAGACGAGAAGCUACUGAGACUAGCUAGAACUUUGAUUCCUUGCUUUGGUUUGGAAUCCUGAAUGGAGCUUCAUCCCUCGUUUUUGAUCCUGCAAGAGAAGAAGGAAACUGUUUUUUAAAAUUAUCUUUAUGUUUGUUGUUUGAAGAGGAUUUUCUGUGUUCAGAUUUCCAUAUUGUGGUCAAGAGGGAGAGAUGUGGGAUUUGUUUGUAAAGAACAGAGACUAUGCGGGGCAGUGCUCAGGAUAAUUCACUUCAUGAUUUCUUUUCCCUUU